Molecule: non-coding RNA, 176 nt
Organism: Oryza glumipatula
Lineage: Eukaryota; Viridiplantae; Streptophyta; Magnoliopsida; Poales; Poaceae
Source: Rfam
AACCACACUAUCAAUAAAUGGAUUCACCCGUGAGAUGACGUGGUUGUUCCACAUAGGACAAUGACGUGGCAUCCUAUUACCAGCCAUCUCAUGAAAUUAAUAGGAUGCCACGUCCUCAUCUUAGGUGGAACAACCACGUCAUCUCACAGGUGAAUCCAUUCAUUGAUAUUGUGGUU